Molecule: long non-coding RNA, 968 nt
Organism: Daucus carota subsp. sativus
Lineage: Eukaryota; Viridiplantae; Streptophyta; Magnoliopsida; Apiales; Apiaceae
Exons: 3
Source: RefSeq, a predicted model, not a curated record
UUUAUUUUGCAUCCUCACCUAAAAGUCAGAGGACGAGGAGGACGCAGUCGAGGUGGCUACCGAGGCGUCUCAUCGGGCAGAAGUACGAGCAAAGGCACUGGAAGGGGCAUUCCUUUCAAUGCUCAUCAUGCAGUCUCUGACUAUGAGUCAUCUACUUCAAGAGGGACACUAAAUGCUUCUGAACUCGACACUUUUCGUCAACUAUUGUCACAAUUGAACACCAAUGCAGCCAUACCCACAGCCAAUUCUGCUCAUGCAGGAUCUGGCGACAGGGAGGGUCCUUGGCAGUGGUAAAUUGGUCGAUGGACUUUAUGUCAUGGAAAGCAACUCUGUUUGUCAUUUGAACAGUUAUCAGGUGUCAUCUAAAUCUAAUCCUGUUUUAGAAUCUUUGUAUCAAUGGCAUAGACGAUUAGGUCAUCCAUCUUUUGGUGUUUUGGCACAUCUUUUUCCUAAAUUAGCAAGUAAAUGUAAUAAAGAAGAAUUUUUCUGUGAACCAUGUGAACUAGCCAAACAUAAGAGAUCAUCUUAUCCAUCUAAUAAUAAAAGGAGUUCUAAUCUUUUUUCAACUAUUCAUACCGAUGUUUGGGGUCCAUUUAGACAUCCUACACAUGAUGGGUAUAGAUGGUUUGUUGUCUUUGUUGAUUGUCAUUCUCGGCUUACUUGGGUAUAUCUUCUUAAACACAAAAGUGAAGUAUUCGAGUGUUUUAAAUCUUUUCACCACAUGAUCCAAACACAAUUUAAUGCUUCUGUUAAAAUUCUUCGGAGUGACAAUGGUACCGAGUAUCACGGACAAUUUACAUCUUAUUUGGACACAUAUGGUAUUAUUCAUCAAACUACAUGUGUUAAAACCUCUCAACAAAAUGGUGUUGCCGAAAGAAAAAUUGGUCACUUACAACAGGUUGCACGGUCUCUUAUGUUAACUAUGCAUGUUCCCAAAUAUCUUUGGGGGGGGGGCAGUUAUGACUGCU